AGAGUUUGAUCCUGGCUCAGAUUGAACGCUGGCGGCAUGCCUUACACAUGCAAGUCGAACGGCAGCACGGGAGCAAUCCUGGUGGCGAGUGGCGAACGGGUGAGUAAUACAUCGGAACGUGCCCAGUCGUGGGGGAUAACGUAGCGAAAGCUACGCUAAUACCGCAUACGAUCUGUGGAUGAAAGCGGGGGACCGUAAGGCCUCGCGCGAUUGGAGCGGCCGAUGUCAGAUUAGGUAGUUGGUGGGGUAAAGGCCUACCAAGCCGACGAUCUGUAGCUGGUCUGAAAGGACGACCAGCCACACUGGGACUGAGACACGGCCCACACUCCUACGGGAGGCAGCAGUGGGGAAUUUUGGACAAUGGGCGCAAGCCUGAUCCAGCAAUGCCGCGUGCAGGAUGAAGGCCUUCGGGUUGUAAACUGCUUUUGUACGGAACGAAACGGCUCUUUCUAAUAAAGAGGGCUAAUGACGGUACCGUAAGAAUAAGCACCGGCUAACUACGUGCCAGCAGCCGCGGUAAUACGUAGGGUGCAAGCGUUAAUCGGAAUUACUGGGCGUAAAGCGUGCGCAGGCGGUUAUGUAAGACAGAUGUGAAAUCCCCGGGCUCAACCUGAGACCUGCAUUUGUGACUGCAUAGCUGGAGUACGGUAGAGGGGGAUGGAAUUCCGCGUGUAGCAGUGAAAUGCGUAGAUAUGCGGAGGACACCGAUGGCGACGCAAUCCCCUGCACCUGUACUGACGCUCAUGCACGAAAGCGUGGAGAGCAAACAGGAUUAGAUACCCUAUUAGUCCACGCCCUAAACGAUGUCAGCUGGUUGUCGCUCUUCACUGACUCAGUAACGAAGCUAACGCGUGAGUCGACCGCCUGGGGGAGUACGCCGCUAAGAUGAUCUCAAUUAAUUGGACGGCACCGCACAUCCGUGAUGAUGUGGUCUAAUUCGAAGCCCACCGCCCAAUAAAAUCCGGUAC
Molecule: ribosomal RNA, 968 nt
Filed under: uncultured bacterium
Lineage: Bacteria
Description: bacterial SSU rRNA
Rfam family: Bacterial small subunit ribosomal RNA
Source: RNAcentral